GUGGGGAAUAUUGCACAAUGGGCGAAAGCCUGAUGCAGCAACGCCGCGUGAGCGAUGAAGGCCUUUGGGUCGUAAAGCUCUGUCCUUGGGGAAGAAAAAAAUGACGGUACCCUUGGAGGAAGCCCCGGCUAACUACGUGCCAGCAGCCGCGGUAAUACGUAGGGGGCAAGCGUUAUCCGGAAUUAUUGGGCGUAAAGAGUGCGUAGGUGGUUUUGUAAGCGCGAGGUGAAAGGCAAUAGCUCAACUAUUGUAAGCCUUGCGAACUGCAAGACUUGAGUGCAGGAGAGGAAAGUGGAAUUCCUAGUGUAGCGGUGAAAUGCGUAGAUAUUAGGAGGAACACCAGUGGCGAAGGCGACUUUCUGGACUGUAACUGACACUGAGGCACGAAAGCGUGGGGAGCAAACAGGAUUAGAAACCCGUGUAGUCC
This 427-nucleotide ribosomal RNA is filed under the name uncultured bacterium. RNAcentral's name for it is "partial 16S ribosomal RNA". It matches the Rfam family "Bacterial small subunit ribosomal RNA", at positions 354 to 796 of the family's 1533-position model. The record is from RNAcentral.